This 497-nucleotide ribosomal RNA is filed under the name uncultured bacterium. RNAcentral describes it as "partial 16S ribosomal RNA". It matches the Rfam family "Bacterial small subunit ribosomal RNA", at positions 28 to 507 of the family's 1533-position model. The record is from RNAcentral.
GAUGAACGCUGGCGGCGUGCCUAAUACAUGCAAGUCGAGCGAACAGACGAGGAGCUUGCUCCUCUGACGUUAGCGGCGGACGGGUGAGUAACACGUGGAUAACCUACCUAUAAGACUGGGAUAACUUCGGGAAACCGGAGCUAAUACCGGAUAAUAUAUUGAACCGCAUGGUUCAAUAGUGAAAGACGGUUUUGCUGUCACUUAUAGAUGGAUCCGCGCCGCAUUAGCUAGUUGGUAAGGGAACGGCUUACCAAGGCAACGAUGCGUAGCCGACCUGAGAGGGUGAUCGGCCACACUGGAACUGAGACACGGUCCAGACUCCUACGGGAGGCAGCAGUAGGGAAUCUUCCGCAAUGGGCGAAAGCGUGACGGAGCAACGCCGCGUGAGUGAUGAAGGUCUUCGGAUCGUAAAACUCUGUUAUUAGGGAAGAACAAAUGUGUAAGUAACUAUGCACGUCUUGACGGUACCUAAUCAGAAGGCCACGGCUAACUACGUG